UCGAACGGUUAAAGCACCUUCGGGUGUGUAUAGAGUGGCGAACGGCUGAGUAACACGUGGGCAACCUGCCCUUUGCAUCGGGACAGCCUCGGGAAACCGUGGUUAAUACCGGAUACUCCAUCUUUCUCACAUGAAAAAGAUGGGAAAGUGUUUAGCGGCAAGGGAUGGGCCCGCGCCCUGUUAGCUUGUUGGUGGGGUAAAAGCCUACCAAGGCAAUGAUGGGUAGCCGGGUUGAGAGACCGACCGGCCAGAUUGGGACUGAGACACGGCCCAGACUCCUACGGGAGGCAGCAGUGGGGAAUCUUGCACAAUGGGCGAAAGCCUGAUGCAGCGACGCCGCGUGCGGGAUGAAGGCCUUCGGGUUGUAAACCGCUUUCAGCAGGGACGAGGCGAAAGUGACGGUACCUGUAGAAGAAGCCCCGGCUAACUACGUGCCAGCAGCCGCGGUAAUACGUAGGGGGCAAGCGUUAUCCGGAUUCAUUGGGCGUAAAGCGCGCGUAGGCUGCCCAGUAGGUCGAGAGUUAAAUCCGGGGGCUCAACCCCCGUCCGCUCCCGAUACCGCUGGGCUUCGAGUCUGGUAGGGGAAGGUGGAAUUCCCAGUGUAGCGGUGGAAUGCGCAGAUAUUGGGAAGAACACCGGUGGCGAAGGCGGCCUUCUGGGCCAUGACUGACGCUGAGGCGCGAAAGCUAGGGUAGCGAACAGGAUU
This 706-nucleotide ribosomal RNA is filed under the name uncultured Olsenella sp. RNAcentral describes it as "bacterial SSU rRNA". It matches the Rfam family "Bacterial small subunit ribosomal RNA", at positions 62 to 779 of the family's 1533-position model. Lineage: Bacteria; Bacillati; Actinomycetota; Coriobacteriia; Coriobacteriales; Atopobiaceae. The record is from RNAcentral.